Molecule: long non-coding RNA, 319 nt
Organism: Paramisgurnus dabryanus
Lineage: Eukaryota; Metazoa; Chordata; Actinopteri; Cypriniformes; Cobitidae
Source: RefSeq, a predicted model, not a curated record
UCAGCCUUGUCGGAAGUAAGCUGUGAAGAGACAAAACAACAGGAGGCAGGACAAGUACAGAACAUCGAAAUCUUGAUGUUGCCAGACUCUGUCCUGUCUGAAAUUCUUCUUCUUCUCGUGGUCCUUGAGGAGGGGGAUUCUGGAUUGUUAAAUUUGUCUUUAGUGUGUUCCAAAUUCAGAAGUCUGGUGGAUACAGACUCAUUUAGGAGGAGGGCACACUUCUGCUGGCUUGACAGUGUAACAAAUUGGAGAGAGAAGUCUGUGACAUCUCCAGAGUACUACCAGAUGUACACACUGCAGCCCUGCAGACACUGCAAAG